This 440-nucleotide ribosomal RNA is filed under the name uncultured bacterium. Its description in RNAcentral is "partial 16S ribosomal RNA". It matches the Rfam family "Bacterial small subunit ribosomal RNA", at positions 339 to 795 of the family's 1533-position model. The record is from RNAcentral.
CUACGGGUUGCUCCAGCAAGGAAUAUUGGGCAAUGGGCGAAAGCCUGACCCAGCGACACCGCGUGGAGGAAGAAGGCCUUCGGGUUGUAAACUCCUUUUAUCAGGGAAGAAUAAUGACGGUACCUGGUGAAUAAGUCUCGGCUAACUACGUGCCAGCAGCCGCGGUAAUACGUAGGAGGCGAGCGUUAUCCGGAUUUACUGGGCGUAAAGAGGGCGUAGGCGGCUUUUCAAGUCGGAUGUGAAAUCUCCCGGCUUAACUGGGAGGGUGCAUUCGAUACUGGGAGGCUGGAGUGCAUCAGAGGAAAGCGGAAUUCCCGGUGUAGUGGUGAAAUGCGUAGAUAUCGGGAAGAACACUAGUGGCGAAGGCGGCUUUCUGGGGUGUAACUGACGCUGAGGCCCGAAGGCGUGGGGAGCAAACAGGAUUAGAUACCCUCGUAGUC